GACGAACGCUGGCGGCGUGCUUAACACAUGCAAGUCGUACGGUAAGGCCCUUUCGGGGGUACACGAGUGGCGAACGGGUGCGUAACACGUGAGUAACCUGCCCACAACUUUGGGAUAACGCUAGGAAACUGGUGCUAAUACUGGAUAUGUGCUCCUGCUGCAUGGUGGGGGUUGGAAAGCUCCGGCGGUUGUGGAUGGACUCGCGGCCUAUCAGCUUGUUGGUGGGGUAGUGGCCUACCAAGGCGGCGACGGGUAGCCGGCCUGAGAGGGUGACCGGCCACAUUGGGACUGAGAUACGGCCCAGACUCCUACGGGAGGCAGCAGUGGGGAAUAUUGCACAAUGGGCGCAAGCCGGAUGCAGCAACGCCGCGUGCGGGAUAACGGCCUUCGGGUUGUAAACCGCUUUCAGCAGGGACGAAGCUUUUUGUGACGGUACCUGCAGAAGAAGCACCGGCUAACUACGUG
RNAcentral lists this ribosomal RNA (465 nucleotides) under uncultured bacterium. RNAcentral's name for it is "partial 16S ribosomal RNA". It matches the Rfam family "Bacterial small subunit ribosomal RNA", at positions 28 to 507 of the family's 1533-position model. The record is from RNAcentral.